GUGCUCGCUUCAGCAGCACAUAUACUAAAAUUGGAAUGAUACAGAGAAGAUUAGCAUGGCCCCUGCUCAAGGAUGACACGCAAAAUAGGAUAUUACUUAAGAAGGAUU
Suncus etruscus (white-toothed pygmy shrew) is the source of this 108-nucleotide small nuclear RNA. The record is from RefSeq and is a predicted model, not a curated record. NCBI's taxonomy places the organism in Eukaryota, Metazoa, Chordata, Mammalia, Eulipotyphla, Soricidae.